CUAAGAUGAAACAGUUCUAUUGCUGUUGUUGGGAAUUUGGUACUCGCCCCGGUACCGGAUCUCGUGAAUCCGCAACCCGCUCCGAUACCGACUGCUGUGGAUCCAGUAUUGAUUGUUGGAAUUCCGCAACGGAAACGUCAAAUCGGAUUUUUAUCAUAAAUCCGUCUUCUCAGUAAAAACUGAUACAAUCAUAAAAGAGAAAAAUAUGCAGGUAAAAUAAGAUUCAUUAAAUAAGAGAAGAUUACACCUGACUCCUCUUCUACACAGAGUAGCUACAAUUCGAGCCCUCUUUCUUGAAUCUCUUCUACCCUUCUCUCGUCUUCUAUAAACCCACAAAGAAGACAUCUCCGCGUGCACCCGUGCACAAGGUGCACUAAAAUAACUCUCUCACUCUCUCGUUUUCUUUCUCUAGUACGACACCCCAAUGGUUCCAGCCUUACUACACCCAAAAAAGAGAGCCACAAUGCCUAUUUAUAGUGCUCAACUUAAAACGUACCCCAAUCCUAAUAUAUUUAGGAUUCAUGCUUUAAUUAAUAUCUAAAUCUAUCUUAAUCAAUCUCUAAUAGAUUUAAAUAUUAAUCCUAAUCUAGUUAUGUUUAUCCUCUAAUUAAUAUUUAAAUCUUAAUUUAUUUCAAACAGAUUUAAAUAUUAAUUCUUAUCCAAAUAGGAUUUAACUACAAAUCUAACCAAAUCCUAACAUUCUCCACCUUGGUUUGAUUUGUAAUUUUCAACCGCUACGUCGAGCUCACCAUGCAAGCUCCACCUUGAGCAUGUCUCCUCCGCUCGAUGUCGCCGCAUCUGUUGCUCCGUCUUGAGCAACUGCACAUCCGCGAACUUUUGGAACCCAAACCGUCUUCGCUCCCGUUCUGGCUGUGCUCCCAUUCAGAACGUAUAAGUUCCCACGCUUGUUCGCCUCGAAUACUACCCGAUCUCGUUUUCGGACCCUCAUAGCUUUACCUGAAGCUGAAAUAUCGCAACCAUUCGAGUCCAAUGCGCCUAACGAGAUCAAAUUCCGUUUCAAUCCAGGAACGUGCCGCACACCUGUCAGCGUCCUCACUACCCCAUCGUGUAUUCGGAUUUUCACCAUGCAGACUCCCAAUACUUUGCACGCUGUCCCGUUCCCUAUCAGCGCCUUUCCACCUUUGGUCGCCUUAUAAGUGGCAAAAGACUUCUUCUCCGGGCAUACAUGAAAAGAACACGCCGAAUCGAGCACCCACACAUCGUCCGAAAUUUUCGCACCUCCGGUCGCCGCAUACAAUACAUCAGAAUCGAUCAUCUCCGACUCUGCUGUCUGCGCCGUCGCUGAAACCGUCUCAUCCUGGUUCAUGACAGUUUGCUCCUUCUGUCGCUUUAACUCCUUCAGAUCAUUCUGAAGUUUUCGACAAUUGCGCUUGAGAUGCCCCUUCCUGUGACAGUAAAAGUAUUCUACCUCAGAUAUCGGUUUCUUCUGUCGAUAUCCGGUCGCCGAUAUUCUCGCCUCCUUCUUCGCGGUCACCACCAGUCCAACAUCCUGACUUUGCGUGCCGGACUCCUGAGUCAUCUUCCGCAUCUCGUUCGAGAGAAGCGCCGCCGUGACCGCCUCCACGCUUAUGGACUCCUUGCCAGUCACCAGAUGCUCAUAUGUCGUCGGUAGCGAAGAUAGUAGGAUCAACGCCUCGUCUUCGUCAUCCAGAUUGACUCCGAUGCUGGUCAACUGGGCCACCACCUUGUUGAACUCAUUUAGAUGAUCAUGUAGGCUCGCCGCUUCUUGCAUCCGCAACGUAAACAGUCGCUGCUUCAGAUACAAUCUGUUCGUUAGGGAUUUGGUCAUGUACAGAUCUUCCAAUUUCUUCCACAAUUUCGCCGGUGUCGUCUUGCCGGCUACAUUGUAAAGAACCUCAUCUGCUAAUGAUAGAUGAAGCGUACUCAGCGCCUUCCGCUCCAUCUUCGUCCAUGCCGCAUCCGUGACGUCCGCCGGCUUUGCCUCCUUCCCGUUCAACGUCUCGUCUAACUCUUGCUGUACGAGGAUUGCUCGUGCUUUAAUUUGCCAUAAUCCGAAAUUGUUCUUGUCGUCGAACUUCUCGAUUUCGAAUUUCGUGGCCAUCUCCGUCGAUCUCUCCCGCAGAUCGGUAACCUUCGGCUCUGAUACCACUUGUUGGGAAUCCGGUACUCGCCCCGGUACCGGAUCUCGUGAAUCCGCAACCCGCUCCGAUACCGACUGCUGUGGAUUCAGUAUCGAUUGUUGGGAUUCCGCAACAGAAACUUCAAAUCUGGUUUUUAUCAUAAAUCCGUCUCCUCAGCAAAAACUGAUACAAUCAUAAAAGAGAAAAAUAUGCAGGUAAAAUAAGAUUCAUUAAAUAAGAGAAGAUUACACCUGACUCCUCUUCUACACAGAGUAGCUACAAUCCGAGCCCUCUUUCUUGAAUCUCUUCUAUCCUCAUCUCGUCUUCUAUAAACCCACAAAAAAGACCUCUCCGCGUGCACCCGUGCACAAGGUGCACUAAAAUAACUCUCUCUCUCUUUUUCUCUCUCUGGUACGACACCGCAAUGGUUCCAGCCGUACUACACCCAAAAAAGAUAGCCACAAUGCCUAUUUAUAAUGCUCAACUUAAAACGUACCCCAAUUCUAAUAUAUUUAGGAUUCAUGCUUUAAUUAAUAUCUAAAUCUAUCUUAAUCAAUCUCUAAUAGAUUUAAAUAUUAAUUAUAAUCUAGUUAGGUUUAUCCUCUAAUUAAUAUUUAAAUCUUAAUUUAUUUCAAACAGAUUUAAAUAUUAAUUCUUAUCUAAAUAGGAUUUAACUAUAAAUCUAACCAAAUCUAACAGCUGUAUC
Molecule: long non-coding RNA, 2808 nt
Filed under: Ananas comosus (pineapple)
Lineage: Eukaryota; Viridiplantae; Streptophyta; Magnoliopsida; Poales; Bromeliaceae
Description: long non-coding RNA (ACOM_LNC024876)
Source: RNAcentral